ACCCACGACAAAUCUUACCACUUCUUGCAUAAUAUAUCUCUUGUAUAUUACAGGUGUUGCAUGGCUGUCUUUAGUUCGUGUUGUGAAAUGUUAGGUUCAUUCCGAAAACGAACGCAACCCUUAUCUUUAAUUAAACUCUUUAAAGAAGUAUCUUUCGAUAAGAAAGAAUAAUUAGGAUGAAGACAAGUCCUCAUGACCCUUAUGGAGUGGGCUACAGACGUGCCGCAAAAAUUUCUACAAUAGGAAGCAAAGAUCCAAGUCCGAGCGAAUCCUUAAAAGAA
This 281-nucleotide ribosomal RNA is filed under the name Pneumocystis murina. RNAcentral's name for it is "partial small subunit ribosomal RNA". It matches the Rfam family "Bacterial small subunit ribosomal RNA", at positions 957 to 1284 of the family's 1533-position model. The record is from RNAcentral. Lineage: Eukaryota; Fungi; Ascomycota; Pneumocystomycetes; Pneumocystales; Pneumocystaceae.